Cyprinus carpio (common carp) is the source of this 528-nucleotide long non-coding RNA. RefSeq lists it as uncharacterized. Lineage: Eukaryota; Metazoa; Chordata; Actinopteri; Cypriniformes; Cyprinidae. The transcript is spliced from 2 exons. The record is from RefSeq and is a predicted model, not a curated record.
AAAACCAUUUGGCAUUAGUUCUUAUCUGUUAGUUCUAUACUUAUCUGAUAUGAACACGGUAGCACAUGCCAUGGUAAAUAUGGUAAAAAUGCAUUAGAAAAUAUUUUAUUUCUUUAAAUUCAAGUAUUUGUGGUUAUAAAUUGCAGGUGUGUUAAAGCAAUUGCUGUGUGUGUGUUUAGGGAACACAGUGACUUGCUGCACUGAUCUAUGCUGAAGUAUUUAACUAUGAAGAUCAGGGUUAAGGUUUAAAUUUGAGGAUACAACUGCAAAGUCAUCUGUUCUCUUUUCUUCUUCUUUUUUUUUUAUCUUUUCUCUUUGUAAUUAAGUUAUUUUUAUUAUGGGAUGCAGUGGUCUUAAUUACUGUCCUGUUUAUGUAACUGGUUGUAUAAUAUUUAAAUGUAUUCCUUGUUCUGUAAUAAAGUCUUCUAUAUCAAAUCUUUGACAGGUUUUUCAGGAGCUUCGUUGCUAAAUAGAAGCAGUUUAUGUAUGAAUAUAGAAAAGUUUCUAUUAAAAGUUAAUAUACAUUGA